UUCAAUCUCGACAAUUGAAUAUGAAUAGUCUAUUAUAAA
Molecule: transfer RNA, 39 nt
Filed under: Camellia flavida
Lineage: Eukaryota; Viridiplantae; Streptophyta; Magnoliopsida; Ericales; Theaceae
Description: tRNA-Leu
Source: RNAcentral